This 274-nucleotide ribosomal RNA is filed under the name uncultured bacterium. Its description in RNAcentral is "partial 16S ribosomal RNA". It matches the Rfam family "Bacterial small subunit ribosomal RNA", at positions 523 to 796 of the family's 1533-position model. The record is from RNAcentral.
AUACGGAGGGUCCGAGCGUUAUCCGGAAUCAUUGGGUUUAAAGGGUCCGUAGGCGGGAAUCUAAGUCAGUGGUGAAAUCUUGCAGCUCAACUGUAAAAUUGCCAUUGAUACUGGAUUUCUUGAAUUAGUGUGAAGUGAUUAGAAUGUGUAGUGUAGCGGUGAAAUGCAUAGAUAUUACACAGAAUACCAAUUGCGAAGGCAGAUCACUAACACUAUAUUGACGCUGAGGGACGAAAGCGUGGGGAGCGAACAGCAUUAGAAACCCUAGUAGUCC